This 612-nucleotide ribosomal RNA is filed under the name uncultured bacterium. RNAcentral's name for it is "bacterial SSU rRNA". The stretch from base 1 to 531 matches the Rfam family "Bacterial small subunit ribosomal RNA", at positions 338 to 873 of the family's 1533-position model. The record is from RNAcentral.
CCUACGGGAGGCAGCAGUAAGGAAUAUUGGUCAAUGGACGAAAGUCUGAACCAGCCAUGCCGCGUGAAGGAUGAAGGCCCUCUGGGUUGUAAACUUCUUUUAUCUGGGACGAAAAAAGGGAAUUCUUUCUCACUUGACGGUACCAGAGGAAUAAGCACCGGCUAACUCCGUGCCAGCAGCCGCGGUAAUACGGAGGGUGCAAGCGUUAUCCGGAUUUACUGGGUUUAAAGGGAGCGUAGGUGGGCAGGUAAGUCAGUGGUGAAAUCUCCGGGCUUAACCCGGAAACUGCCAUUGAUACUAUCUGUCUUGAAUAUUCUGGAGGUAAGCGGAAUAUGUCAUGUAGCGGUGAAAUGCUUAGAUAUGACAUAGAACACCAAUUGCGAAGGCAGCUUACUACGGGAUUAUUGACACUGAGGCUCGAAAGCGUGGGGAUCAAACAGGAUUAGAUACCCUGGUAGUCCACGCCCUAAACGAUGGAUACUCGACAUCAGCGAUACACUGUUGGUGUCUGNGNGAAGANAUAUAUCCACCNGGAGGAGANCGCAGAGUAGAACUACAAUAGAGUUAGUACGGCGUGAGACGUAGACCGACGGACGACGACGAGGGAGGAGG